ACUCCUACGGGAGGCAGCAGUAGGGAAUAUUGGGCAAUGGACGAGAGUCUGACCCAGCCAUGCCGCGUGCAGGAAGAAGGCGUUCUGCGUUGUAAACUGCUUUUAUCUGGGAAGAAAAGGCCCAUGCGUGGGACAUUGCCGGUACCAGAUGAAUAAGCACCGGCUAACUCCGUGCCAGCAGCCGCGGUAAUACGGAGGGUGCAAGCGU
RNAcentral lists this ribosomal RNA (208 nucleotides) under uncultured bacterium. RNAcentral's name for it is "partial 16S ribosomal RNA". It matches the Rfam family "Bacterial small subunit ribosomal RNA", at positions 335 to 541 of the family's 1533-position model. The record is from RNAcentral. RNAcentral also lists the same sequence under 1 other name.